This is a long non-coding RNA of Oncorhynchus nerka (sockeye salmon), 863 nucleotides long. RefSeq lists it as uncharacterized. Lineage: Eukaryota; Metazoa; Chordata; Actinopteri; Salmoniformes; Salmonidae. The transcript is spliced from 3 exons. The record is from RefSeq and is a predicted model, not a curated record.
UGUGAAGUGACCUGUUCUGAUGGUAGAGAGCCAACCGGAGGCGCCAAACAUGCCAGUCCUACCCAUUGUGCUGGAUGUGCCGCUGGGUUAAGCAGGCGAAACUGUGCACUGCAAGUGUGCACACUAACAAAGACAGCUACAGUGCCCAGAUUGACGACAGAUAUCCAUCCAGUACUCACAGCAGUGGUUGCUAGGGACAGCGUGACAGCACCACCUUAUUGUUAGAGGCUCUGCAUGGCAACAAUAACCGCUCCUACAGUACAUCAACGUCUGUAGCUGUAACCAUCAUGCACUACUUUUUAAAAUAUUUCUUUGAAGACACUGACAUGGGGUAAAGGUGCUAGGUAUUUCAGCCAAGUCCCUCAAAAGUUCCAAGUGUGCAAAUAGUCCGAGUCCACACCCUGUCCAGGAAAGUUGUCACUUCACUGCACCAUUCCUCUCACAGUCAAAUCAUGGCAACACUUAGGAAACGUUAUAUACCUUGUUAUAUACUGUAAGGUUAAUGGAGGUUAGUGGAAUUACAAGCCAAUUGCAUACUGAAUAUCAAUGCAGUAAACUUUAAAGUACACAUAACAUGUCUCGUGGAAUUUAAUUUGUAUUCUGAAUCAUUGUCACACAUCUCAUAUAUAUGUUCUAAAUCCCUACAAUUAUGUUAAAACAACCAACGUGUACUUUCACAGUUCGUAAAUCAUUCGGAAAACUACUUUAGAAUAAUUAUUGCACAGCAAAUAAUGUGGGCAGAGCAGAGGACAAUACUAGAAUUAUUAAUAUUGUCUACUACAAUACGUAUACAUUUCCCUUUGAUGAGUCGAUCUUGUUUAUAAUACAUAUUUUCACUUUGGGAAUUCCUCGUUGCCAGGCUU